This 431-nucleotide ribosomal RNA is filed under the name uncultured bacterium. RNAcentral describes it as "bacterial SSU rRNA". It matches the Rfam family "Bacterial small subunit ribosomal RNA", at positions 29 to 507 of the family's 1533-position model. The record is from RNAcentral.
AACGAACGCUGGCGGCAGGCCUAACACAUGCAAGUCGAGCGCCCCGCAAGGGGAGCGGCGGACGGGUGAGUAACGCGUGGGAACGUACCCUUUGCUACGGAAUAGCCUCGGGAAACUGGGGGUAAUACCGUAUGUGCCCUUCGGGGGAAAGAUUUAUCGGCAAAGGAUCGGCCCGCGUUGGAUUAGGUAGUUGGUGGGGUAAUGGCCUACCAAGCCGACGAUCCAUAGCUGGUUUGAGAGGAUGAUCAGCCACACUGGGACUGAGACACGGCCCAGACUCCUACGGGAGGCAGCAGUGGGGAAUCUUAGACAAUGGGCGCAAGCCUGAUCUAGCCAUGCCGCGUGAGCGAUGAAGGCCUUAGGGUUGUAAAGCUCUUUCAGUGGGGAAGAUAAUGACUGUACCCACAGAAGAAGCCCCGGCUAACUCCGUG